ACACCAAACAAAAUCUUGAAAUCCAUGUCCUGAAAUGCAAAAUCAGCAGCUUUGAGAAAAGCUUUUGCUUAAUGGAGGAAAAACUCUUCAAACAGGGAAAUGAGUUGAACAAAGAGAAAGUGCUCCUCCACGCAGACUGAGAACAAGCAGGAAGCUGACAAAGACCCAAAGCCCACAGCAAAGAGAACUGGAUCAGACAUGUCACCACCCAGGAAAGCUCAAAAGCCUCGACUUGAUGCUGCUUCACCUGAUCCUACAAACACAACACACACAACACAAUCUCUCCUGUACAGUGCGUUAGAAACACUACAAAAGUCCUGUUCUGAUACAGACAGGAUUCAUGCACUUACAGGAACAAGUGAACUUCCUGUUCUGAGAGAUGAAG
Molecule: long non-coding RNA, 385 nt
Organism: Silurus meridionalis
Lineage: Eukaryota; Metazoa; Chordata; Actinopteri; Siluriformes; Siluridae
Exons: 4
Source: RefSeq, a predicted model, not a curated record